Molecule: long non-coding RNA, 221 nt
Filed under: Elaeis guineensis (African oil palm)
Lineage: Eukaryota; Viridiplantae; Streptophyta; Magnoliopsida; Arecales; Arecaceae
Description: long non-coding RNA (EGUI_LNC037086)
Source: RNAcentral
CCAUUAGAGGUGCCACACGCCUGGUGUCUAUUAUGUAUUGAAAUUGUCAUUCAUCAUAUGACCAUCAUGAUGUACCUUUAGAUCAAUACUCAGAUUGACUGAGCCACACUCAAACCUGGACAUCCAUUUAUUGGAUGCACUUGGUGUGUCAUGUUAAUAGUUGGACCUAACCAAAAUUUUCAGUGGAGACGCCGAACGCUUGCUGAAGGGAUGCCUGGGGC